Molecule: long non-coding RNA, 374 nt
Filed under: Malus domestica (apple)
Lineage: Eukaryota; Viridiplantae; Streptophyta; Magnoliopsida; Rosales; Rosaceae
Description: long non-coding RNA (MDOM_LNC000768)
Source: RNAcentral
UUCAGAACACAGUGAAAAUAUACCAGAAGCAUUUCUCAUUUCUCCCUCUCUCUCGACUUCUCUCUCUACUUUCUGCAAUCUCAGUGCUUCCAUUGAUGACCUGCAAGCUCAAGUUUCAUCAUCCUUACGUGGUAUCCUUUCCAGCGAUGGAGGACUCUCUUCGAUCCUGAUAUCUUUAUGCUUCCGCAAUCUUCUCUGGUUGUUCUCUGGUAUGCGUUCUUCUUUGAUCUUUCUAAAUUUAGCUAGCAAUCUUGAAUCUUGCAUAUAUGAUGUUCGAUGAAAUGUGUCAUAAGAUUUCUUCUUCCUUGCUCUUAUCUCUGCACAAAUCUCUCCUCUGAAAAGUCAGUUUUCUCUUCGAAUUAAUCAAGAAAAGU